This 249-nucleotide long non-coding RNA is filed under the name Malus domestica (apple). Its description in RNAcentral is "long non-coding RNA (MDOM_LNC016806)". Lineage: Eukaryota; Viridiplantae; Streptophyta; Magnoliopsida; Rosales; Rosaceae. The record is from RNAcentral.
UAUAAAUGAGUUUCACCUAAUCGUUACAAGUUUAUAUUCAUGAGUAGUGAAGGUUGUUUAUCAUAAUCGCGUUAAUUGAAUUCUUGACAAUUGUAUCAUGCAUUCAUAGUUAUAAUUGCCUUGUCAACACUUAUGAUUUUCAUUAAACGUAAUAAUCUCUGAUUGUAUCUCUAUUAUGCAUUCAUAUAGGGGACUUUUACAGAAUGAUUUGGGUUGUCGCAUGCAUUCAUCCAAUUCAAUGAGUAAAGG